Oreochromis niloticus (Nile tilapia) is the source of this 828-nucleotide long non-coding RNA. RefSeq lists it as uncharacterized. The transcript is spliced from 4 exons. Lineage: Eukaryota; Metazoa; Chordata; Actinopteri; Cichliformes; Cichlidae. The record is from RefSeq and is a predicted model, not a curated record.
GGGACACACUUGUCUAAUUUAUUGUACGUAGUAAACGUAAUAUUAUUUGAUAUAUUUUUUUAUACAUUUUAUAUAUGUGUAUAUAUGUUUCAGUAAGUAAAUAUUCUUCAAUCUCUUUUUUCCCCCAUUUUCCGCAGAUCAGCAUCAAUGUCCACGUGAAGAACCUAGUUAUGUUGCCAGUGUCAACCCACCAAAAGGCACUUUCACAAUAUAUAAAAGAAGUGUAUGGAACUGAGGUGCUUCCUCAGGAGCUCCUUCAGUUGUUGGAGGAUGGAGAAGAGGACGCAGCCAUGACUUGUGAGACGGCGUCUGAGUCAGCUGCUACUCACUGGGCGAUCAGAAAUAUGGUGUCCUCGCAAAAGUGGAAAGAGGCCAGGCCUUGUCUUAUAGACAAUAUGUUAGCUACUCUGGAUCCACAGUCACACCGUGUGUGUCAGUGUGGCAAACAAGUAGUUGUGAGGUGUCUGGACUGCCUUCCUCUUCCAUUCCUUUGUGCUGAGUGUGAUAUUGCAGUUCACACACACUUUGUCCUGCACAACAGAGAGGCAGUAACAGGAGGGUUUUUGCAGCCUUCAUCAGAGUUUCACAAGCCAAUAGGCCAGACCAUGUGUGUGACUGCCCAGCAGGUAACGUUGAGGUUUCACCCGGCGCAAUUGUGGCUCUUGUAACCAUAAAUGGCCGUUAUAACCUUGCACUGCCAGUGGUGAGCUGCACCAGCUGUGGCCUAAUGUGGUCCCCCUCAGUUAAGGACAUCCUGGGUAGUGGAUAUUGGCCUGGCACCUUAAAUUUCUGCACCCUGUUUUCAAUGGCUGUCUUUCAGUCUUUCCA